UACGUAGGUGGCAAGCGUUUGUCCGGAAUUAUUGGGCGUAAAGCGCGCGCAGGCGGUUCUUUUAAGUCUGAUGUGAAAGCCCACGGCUCAACCGUGGAGGGUCAUUGGAAACUGGGGAACUUGAGUACAGAAGAGGAAAGCGGAAUUCCACGUGUAGCGGUGAAAUGCGUAGAGAUGUGGAGGAACACCAGUGGCGAAGGCGACUCUUUGGUCUGUAACUGACGCUGAGGCGCGAAAGCGUGGGGAGCAAACAGG
Molecule: ribosomal RNA, 255 nt
Filed under: uncultured bacterium
Lineage: Bacteria
Description: partial 16S ribosomal RNA
Rfam family: Bacterial small subunit ribosomal RNA
Source: RNAcentral